This 1045-nucleotide long non-coding RNA is filed under the name Brassica napus (rape). Its description in RNAcentral is "long non-coding RNA (BNAP_LNC010517)". The record is from RNAcentral. Lineage: Eukaryota; Viridiplantae; Streptophyta; Magnoliopsida; Brassicales; Brassicaceae.
AUCAAAAAUCAACAUGAUUAAAGGUCUAGUUAAACCACAAAAGAAGUAAAUGCUCAGUUGAAAUCAAAUACUGAUUUUUGAUUGGAAUUUUUUUCCUUUGACAUCUCUCCAUUCUACAAAGAAUUUUGAAAUAGAUUGGUUUAUUUAGAAAAAAUUACAUCUAGGCAUACUUUUUCAUUGUCAACUUACAUAUAGACAUACUUUAAGCAUGUGACAUACUUUCUCUUGACAAAAUACCUAAAGAGCCCUUUCAAUUUUAACUGGUUGGUUGGAAACGUGAGUUAAGGUUGGUUACUCAAUCAAUCGCCCUUUCACAUCUCUAUUUUGUUUUCUCUUUGCAUUUCUUCUCUCCCACAUAUCUCAUUCGUCCAACACCAGAUCUCUUUUUCAAAUCACAGAAUCUAUCAUUUUUUUUCUUUUUCUUUUUCAUUUUUCAUUUUUCAUCUUUCAUCCUUGUUGUUUGGCUCCUCUUUCCUUUUUAUUCUUUUCUUUCUUUUUAUCUAACUCAAAUCCGUGAAUUUUUCAAAACAACACUAUCAUCUCAAUUCUUGGCACGAUUACCGUCAUCACCACAACUUCUUUCAUCGCCAUUGCCACAACUCUUCUUGGGGCCGCCGCCGCACUUGCAGAACCACCACUGCAAUUCUUUCCCAUCGUUUUUGAGAAAGCCCUGAACACACGAACACUUUGACCACAUGAACAUUGACUGUAACUCUGACCAUAUGAAUACUAACCCCGAUUCUGAUCAUAUGAACACUAACCCUAACCAUCCUUUCUCUCCACGAAAACCAUGACUAUGUGGUUUCCAACCGUAACCACCAGCUCAACGAAACCCCUAACCACGAAAGAGCAACCAACCUUUCACUAUAACCCUGACCGCAAAUGUCUGUUCUUAUUAACCACAUCAAUCCUAAAUAGGCAAAAUCUGCGCCUGACCACACAUUUCUGACCACAAAACCCAACACUCAGAUCAAAGUCGUUCACUAUUUAACUAACAUUUAAAGCCAACAAAACCAGAUUUUUUUUGUCACUAUUUUCCUUUAAU